GAUGAACGCUGGCGGCGUGCCUAAUACAUGCAAGUCGAGCGAACGGACGAGAAGCUUGCUUCUCUGAUGUUAGCGGCGGACGGGUGAGUAACACGUGGAUAACCUACCUAUAAGACUGGGAUAACUUCGGGAAACCGGAGCUAAUACCGGAUGAUAUUUUGAACCGCAUGGUUCAAAAGUGAAAGACGGUCUUGCUGUCACUUAUAGAUGGAUCCGCGCUGCAUUAGCUAGUUGGUAAGGUAACGGCUUACCAAGGCAACGAUGCAUAGCCGACCUGAGAGGGUGAUCGGCCACACUGGAACUGAGACACGGUCCAGACUCCUACGGGAGGCAGCAGUAGGGAAUCUUCCGCAAUGGGCGAAAGCCUGACGGAGCAACGCCGCGUGAGUGAUGAAGGUCUUCGGAUCGUAAAACUCUGUUAUGAGGGAAGAACAUAUGUGUAAGUAACUGUGCACAUCUUGACGGUACCUAAGCAGAAAGCCACGGCUAACUACGU
This 496-nucleotide ribosomal RNA is filed under the name uncultured bacterium. RNAcentral's name for it is "partial 16S ribosomal RNA". It matches the Rfam family "Bacterial small subunit ribosomal RNA", at positions 28 to 506 of the family's 1533-position model. The record is from RNAcentral.